UUGCCCAGACUAAACUCAUUGAUCAUAGACAAUGGGGCUAUGCCUCUUCUCCGAGAGCUACAAAUUGGGCCUUCCCCACAACUGAAGGAGGUGCCCUCUGGCAUCCAGCACCUCAGAAAUCUAAGCUUUCUUAGAUUUGUUGACAUGCCAAAAGAGUUCCGACGACAUAUGGAUCCAAAUAAUGGCCAACAUUAUUGGAUUGUUGAACAUGUUCUUUUUAGUUACAAGUUGGGACCAAGAUGCGAUGUAUAUGAAACUCACGCCCUGCGUGAUUCCAACCUGUGAAAGCAUAUCUACUUGUGAGUUUUAAUCCCAGACACCCCAUAUAACUCGCAAGGCUUAAAUGAAAUCGCCAAAUGUCAUUGUUGACACGAUCUCUGAUAUUCUUUAGUAUUAUCAACUGUUAUAGAUGUUUGCUUUGUAUGAAAACAAAACAUAAAAACUUCAUUCAUGUUUGUGAGGAGUUGAUUGUAUUUGAGCAGGCAACAUUGAUUAUUUCUCACAACCAAGACAAGUGUUUGGCUAAUUAUUUCUCACACUAUCUAAUCAAAUGAAGGGCUAGGAGUUUCAGUUUGAAUGUCGGUCCUAAAUCAUUUCUUUUGUUCCAGACAUGUUUCUGAAUUUGAAGCAUUGAACUUUUGCUCAGCAAACAAGCAUUGUACGUAAGAUUUUUUUCGGUUGAAAGGCUUCAUGGCAAGCCUACCACAGGUCUCCAAGGAUAAUCAUAGGCAACUUGCGAGGUUGAAUAUCAUUUGCAACCCAGCUAGCAGAAACAAAAGAGUCCCUUCUCUAGUACCAAGCUUAGCUAGAAGUCGAGGUUUUCGCCACACGAAUUAAUUACGUAAAAUGAAACAAAUUAAAUCUGAAUUAUGCAUGGUAAGUGAUGGAUGGCAGAUUCAAAUCAAAGAGAAGCAGUUAUAUAUGUUAAUGGAAGAUCAGAGCAAAACGCAUGGCUUAAACUUCAUUGCUUUACAUCUGCAACCUUAUCAGAAAGAACACAAAAGUCUCUAAGCAUACAUAUAGUGUGUUAAAACCUGAUUGCAUAAGUUAAUGAAAAAGUAGCAGAAGCAGUUGUAUUCUUUGUGAUUGAUAAGUCUCUACUCAUCUACUGUACAGAAGCAAAACUUCCAAGAGAUGUAUGAUAGAGAUUUUAACACAUGUUCAGGAACUGGUAUAAACAAUUUACGAGUUUUUGGAUUAUUUAACUUAAUUAACUCUAAGAAUUAUAUUGGAGCAGUUAUGUUUUUAUUUAAUAUAUAUGUGUGUGUGUAUAUAUAUAUAUAUGAUUUGUUUUAUUAGAAACAUUAAAUAUAUAUAUAUAUAUAAUUGUCAUUAGGAGCAAUUUUUAUUCGUAAAUAUAUUGGAGACGUUGUCAAUUAUGAGUCAUUUCCACUCUUAAUUAUAUAGGAGAUGUGAGGAAGUUUUCUACUUCAACAAAUUUGAAAUGCCUUCUCUGAAUAGAUAUAUAUAUAUAUAUAUAUAUAUAUAUAUAUAUAUAUAUAUAUAUAGAUAUAUAUAGAUAUAUCAAUUAUGAGUCAUUUCCACUCUUAAUUAUAUAGGAGACGUGAGGAAGUUUUCUACUUCAACAAAUUUGAAAUGCCUUAUCUAUAUAGAUAUAUAUAUAUAUAUAUAUAUAGAUAUAUAUCUAUUCAGAGAAGGCAUUUCAAAUUUGUUGAGAGAGAUAUAGAUAUAUAGAUAUAUAUCUAUAUAUAUAUAUAUCUAUUCAGAGAAGGCAUUUCAAAUUUGUUGAGUGAGAGAGAGAGAGAGAGAAUACUAUAAGCUGAUAAAUAAUUUUUGAAAUUAAGUUUUGAGAGCAACAUAUUGAAAUCUAUUCAGAGAAGGCAUUUCAAAUUUGUUGAGAGAGAGAGGGGGAGAGAGAGAGAGAGAAUACUAUAAGCUGAUAAAUAAUUUUUGAAAUUAAGUUUUGAGAGCAACAUAUUGAAAGGGUGCAAGUUUGAAAGGUUCUGGGCUGUUUUAUCCUGAGGACGACGUGGUGUUUGUGAACUUCUUGCACACUUUGGGUAGAGCCGCGAAACAUCUUAAAGAUAGCGACUUAGUCCGCAACUCAUCCCAAGAAUCAUUCAUUACUCAAGGGUUUUACAUUUUCCGGGUAACUUCGUUCAUUUCUAUUUCAGUUUAAACAAUUUUAAGACGAAUUCAAUCUGCCAUGCAUUAUAAGGAAAACUCUACUUCUCAAGCAAAUCUUGUUGAAGAGCAAUUGAUUGCAAUGAUAUCAGAUAUCAACCUAGUUGAUGGAUCAGAAGGGUGGUGGGUGGACAUUGGCGCUUUUCGCCAUGUUUGCUAUGAUCGAUCCCUUUUCAAUACCUAUUCUGUGGCUGAGGGAAGAAAGGUGUUGUUGGGUGAUUCGCACUCAACUGAUGUUGCUGGUACUGGAGAGGUGGAGUUGAAAUUCACCUCUGGAAAAACCAUGAUACUGAAAGAUGUGAUGCACGCUUCGGCGAUAAGAAAGAAUCUUGUCUCGGGCUUUCUUCUCAACAAGGCUGGAUUCACUCAAACGUUUGGAGCAGAUACGUAUACUCUUACUAAAAUGAGGUUUUUGUGGGAAAAGGGAUAUGCUACUGAUGGAAUGUUUAAAUUGAAUAUUGAUAAAAUGUCUGCUUCUGCUUACAUGUUGUCUUCUUUUAAUACUUGGUAUGCUAGACUUUGUUAUGUUAACAAACGCUUGGUUAAGAACAUGAGUAACUUAGGCUUUUUACCCAACUUAUCAUUGAAUGAUUUUGAAAAAUGUGAAUACUGUAGUCAAGCUAAAAUCACUAGAACUUCGCAUAAAUAUGUCAAUAGAGAAUCUGAACCACUUGACUUAAUUCAUUCUGAUAUAUGUGAAUUUGAUAGAGUGUUAACUAGAAAUGGAAAACGUUAUUUUAUUACCUUUAUUGAUGAUUGUUCAAAUUACUGUUUUGUCUAUCUUAUAAAAAAUAAAAGUGAAGUUAUUGACAUGUUCAAAACUUUCCUGAUUGAAGUUGAAAAUCAUUUAAUCGUAAGUUUAAAAGAUUUUGUAGUGAUAGAGGACAAUAUCAUUUAAUCAUUUAAUCGUAAGUUUAAAAAAAAUUCUUGACGAGCCCUAUAUCUCUGCAAUGUUAGAUUUCCCAUUUUCUUAUCCAUUUUUCCAGUUCGAGGCAGUAAAGUUCUGUGGGUUUCCGGGGAUUUUGUCAUUUUCCGGACACUUUGGCAACCAUUUCCUUUGAGUGAGGUAUGAAACUUCAUCUACUCUUCAUAAUCUUCAAGUUGGUAUGCUUGGUUCGUGCUUUUGUAUUCAUUUUAGUGUUGGGUGUUUAGAACCCUAGAAAUCCGGUUUUCUCUGGUGAAUUUGGAUGGUUUCCAAUUAGAAUUUAUAUUCGGCCUAGUUGUGAAAAGUGUUUCCCUUGUUGAGCUCUAGUUACCACUUAAAUUUGAGCUCAUUUAGUUAAUAUUGAAAAUUCAGGUUUUCAAAACCCUCCACCUUAGUUAUCAGUUGUUGGACCUUUGAGAACUUACGGAUCGGAGAUCUGAUGUGCGGAUCUUCCAGUUUGAAUAACCUUAGAUUGUUGACCUUAUUGACGAUUGACAUUCUAGUCAACGUGCUAUACUCUAGAGUGUCGUUUAUCUCUAGUUUGUUGUUGAUGCUUGAUGGAACUUAGUUGGCUCAUCACGAUGAUGUGUCGUUCUCGGUUGAUGUGUGUCUCGAUAUAUGUAUUAGUGCCACCAUAUUGAGUUAUACUUGUUAAUUUAAUGUGCUUUCUAUUGAAAUGUUAUUUUAUUUUUAGCAUCAAUCUAUGUUUAUUAAUUGUGAUUUGACUGUAGCUUGGAAACAUUUAUGAAAUGUGGUUAGAUAUGUAUGAUCAGUAUGAUGUGUAUAAUUGUUUUUAGGACAAUGUGAACCCAGAAUCUUAUGAGAAGUAUUAUGUAUAACUUUUAUGCUUGUAUGAUAAGAUAGUUAGUGGUCAUGAGAAGUUGAUAGUGCAAGUGAUUCUGUUGAGUGAUGGUCCGGAAUCGUAUACUUGUUUGGAUUCCGUUGAGUGAUAGUCUGGAAUCCCUUCUACUUCGUGAUUCUGUUGAGUGAUGGUUCAGAAUCGUAUACUUGUUUGGAUUCCGUUGAGUGAUGGUCUGGAAUCCCUUCUACUUCGUGAUUCCGUUGAGUGAUGGUUCGGAAUCGUAUACUUGUUUGGAUUCCGUUGAGUGAUGGUCCAGAAUCCCUUCUACUCUGCGAUUCCGUUGAGUGAUGGUCCGGAAUCAUAUCCUUGUUAAGAUUCCGUUGAGUGAUGGUCCAUAAUCGUAUCCUUAUUUGGAUUCUAUUGAGUGAUGGUCUGGAAUCAUUUCCUGGUUUGGAUUCCGUUGAGUGGUCCAAAGUCGCAUCACUUGACUUGUUGGUUUCUUAGAUUUGACAUCAGCUUUAGAGAUGCAGACUUGGCUUAACUGUGUCACUCUAGCCUUAGUUUUAGUAUAUUUGUGAGCAAUGGUUUUGAGAAUCUUGUGAAUUGAAUUAGAAAAGCUGUUGGACGUUUGGGUGACUCUUUCAUGAUUUUCUAUGAUUCGAUUAUGAUAUCAUAAGGUAUGAAUUUAGAAGAUAUGGUUAUAGUUGUUAUUAUUUUGGUCAAAUUAGUUAAUUAAUGUGGCUAGAGAAUUAUAUUGUGCUUCGUCGGUUCUUUGAUAUAAUAUAUGUUGUGAAUUGCGGUAUCAUGUUGCGACAUAAUGACUUAUAUAGAAGAUGGAAGGGAAAUCAUGAUUUUCAGGUGGGUUUGUUAUGUAACUCUGAGUCUAGUAAUUUUAUGCUUGGCAAGUUCUAUUGAUUGAUUGAGAAAUGUUAUGCCUUUCAGCUUAAACGGACUGUGAUAUAUGUCAAUUAUAGUGCAUGACGAACUAUGAAUGGCUUGAUCUAUAUUUAGGGUACGUAAGCAGUCUAACGAGGAUGUUAGAUGCAGCCAUAAAGCAUACGAAAAAUUACUAUGUGAUUCGAUUAUCGAAUUGUGCUUUGCCCAUAUUCCGGAGUCGGGGUAUGAUAGAUACGGGUAUUUGGUGACAUCACGUGUCGAUCCUAGACGUAUGUCGGGAUCGGGGCUUGACAUGGGUGAAAUUGUGUUGACUAUAUGUUAUGUGUUAAAUAGAAUUCCUAACUCAAAAACGAAUAUUUCUCCUUAUGAAAUUUGGAAAAAUAAGAAACCAAAUGUGUUGUAUUUCAGAACUUGGGGUUGUUUAGCUUAUGUUCGUAAACCUGAUAAAAAAAGAUUGAAAUUGGCUAGUAGAGCAUAUGAAUGUGUUUUUAUUGGUGAUGCAUGUAAUAGCAAAGCAUAUAGAUUUUAUGAUUUGAAAAACCAUGUCAAAUUGAGUCACUUGAUGCUGACUUUUAUGAGAAUAAAUUUCCUUUUAAUCUUCGAAAUAGUGGGGGUUCUAAUUCUUCUAAAAUUUAUGCACCUCCUGUUGUAGAACAUAGUCAAUCUGCAUUAGAACCUAGGAAAAGUAAAAGAGCUCGAAUAACUAAAGAUUUUGGACCUGAUUUUCAUGUAUAUAACUUACAAGAAGAUCCUAAUACAAUUCAAGAAGCUUUAACUUCUUUAGAUGCAGCUUUGUGGCAAAAAGUUAUAAAUGAUGAAAUGGACUCCCUGGAGUCAAAUCAAACUUGGCACUUGGUGGAUCUUCCACCUGGUUGCAAAACAAUAGAUUGCAAAUGGAUUCUUAAAAGAAAAUUAAAACCUGACGGUUCAGUUGAAAAUUUUAGAGCCCGACUUGUUGCUAAAGGCUAUAGACAAAGAGAAAAUAUGAUUUCUUUAAUACUUAUUCACCUGUGACUAGAAUAACAUCUAUUCGUGUAUUAUUUGCUUUAGCUUCUAUUCAUGAUCUUGUUGUGCACCAAAUGGAUGUUAAAACAACUUUCUUAAAUGGUGAAUUAUAGGAAGAAAUAUAUAUGGAUCAACCAGAGGGUUUUAUCAUUCCAGGACAAGAAAAUAAAGUUUGCAAGUUAGAUAAGUCACUUUAUGAAUUGAAAUAGGCUCCUAAACAAUGGCAUGCAAAAUUUGAUAGUUUGAUUACUUCGAAUGGUUUUAAAAUAAAUGAAAGUGAUAAAUGCAUCUAUUAUAAGUCUAAAAAUAAUAUAUGCAUUAUAAUAUGCUUAUAUGUGGAUGAUUUGCUUAUUUUUGGUUUGAAUAUUCAUGUUAUGAAUAAUGUCAAAACUUUAUUAUGUGCUAAUUUUGAUAUGAAAGACUUGGAUGAAGCUAGUGUAAUACUUGGUUUGAAAAUAACUAGGUCCGAAAAUGGGUUUUCUUUAGAUCAAUCCCACUACAUAGAAUUUUUUUUAAGAAAGUAUAAUUAUUUUGAUUGUAAACUAGCAUGUAUUCCUUCUGAUCCUAGUGUAAAAUUGUUCAAGAACACUGGUGACAGUAUUAAACAAUCUAAGUAUGUGAGCAUUAUUGAUAGUUUUCGUUAUGCUACUGAUUGCACUAGGCCUGGUAUAUCUUAUGUUGUAGGAGUUUUAUGCAGGUUCACUAGCAGACCUGGUUUGGAGCAUUGACAUGCUAUAGAGAGGCUUAUGAGAUACCUUAAAAGAACGAUGAAUUUCAGAUUACACUAUGAGAAGUUUCCCGUUGUCCUAGAAGGUUACAGCGAUGCUGAUUGGAAUACCCAUUCAUAUGACUCUAAAGCCACUAGUGGAUAUAUUUUUAGUAUUGGUAGCAGGGCUGUGUCAUGAAGUCGAAGAAACAGACUAUCUUGGCUCAGUCUACUAUAGAGUCAUAAUUAAUAACACUAGUUACGGCAAGCGAAGAAGCAGGAUCGUUGAGAAACCUACUAUCAUAUACCCAUUUAUGGGAGAAACCGAUUCUAGCAGUUUUUAUCCAUUGUGACAGCACAUCGGCAAUAGCUAAAGUACAAAACCGUUAUUAUAACAGGAACAUGCGACAAAUACGUCGUAAGCACAACACUGUAAGAGAUUAUCUCUCUAAUGGAGCUGUAAGAGUGGAUCAUAUACGGUCUGAAGAAAACUUGGCUAAUCCUUUAAUGAAAGGAUUAGCACGAGAAAAGGUUUGGAAAACCUCGAAAGGGAUGAGACUAAAGCCUUUAGAAAAUUGAGUCAUUUGUGAUAGCAACCCAACCUAUAGACUGGUGAUCCCAAUAAAUAGGUUUAAAGGGUAAUAAUAAGUCACAAGUGAUAUGAGUGAAGUUUUGCUAAUUUAAUUUGGAAAAUUAUUCCAUGUCCAUCCCUAAGAAGCCUGACAUCUUGAAGCGUUUUUAGGUUGAGAUUUUUUUUCUCUUAGUAAGGUCUAUGCUCUAUGUUGAGUGGGAUAUCUAGCUGCAGGAAUAUCCUUGAUAGUCUUACCUAUGUGGAUGUGGAAGUGAGGCCGCUUCCUAUGAAAUCUUGGGCAAGUUUCUAGAGCAUUCACUAUACUGGGAUAUAAGCACAUGAUCGUAAUAUGCUGACUUUUUAAACUUCACCUUAAUAAAGUUAUGUGUGUGGUGUUGUCAGAGAUAGAGUUCAAAACUAUAAGUUACUCUAGUAUAAUUUGGAUCACUAACACUAUGUACAUGUUCAAGUUGAGAAACACCUUUACUUAUGCAUAUCUUUAUGAUAUGUUGCUUGAUAUACAAUUUUUAAACAAAAACAAGUGGGGGAUUGUUGGAGCAGUUAUGUUUUUAUUUAAUAUAUGUGUGUGUACAUAUAUAUAUAUAUAUUUAUGAUUUGUUUUAUUAGAAACAUUAAAUAUAUAUAACUGUCAUUAGGAGUAAUUUUUAUUCGUAAAUAUAUUGGAGACGUUGUCAAUUAGGCGUAAUUUCCAAUCUUAAUUAUAUAGGAGACAUGAGGAAGUUUAUUACUUCAACAAAUUUGAAAUGCCUUCUCUGAAUAGAGAUGAAGAUCACGUCCACAUCCAUAUAUAAUCUAUCCGUUUUGAUUUGUAUGUUUUGGUUUUUUCCAGAUUUCUAGUCCUUAAUUUAUAAAUCCUUCAACCUCUAUUUCUUUACUUUGUAUAUAAAUACAAGUCCUGAGUAUCGAUAAAAAAAAGAUAUAUAUAUAUAUAUAUAUAUAUAUAUAGAGAGAGAGAGAGAGAGAGAGAGAGAGCUAUAAUCUGAUAAAUAAUUUUUGAAAUUAAGUUUUGAGAGCAACAUAUUGAAAGGGUGCAAGUUUGAAGGUUCUUCCAUUAUGCAAGGAAGAACCUUAUCAGAAGAAGGUUUUAGGCUGUUUUAUCAUGAGGACGACGUUGUGUUUGUGAACUGCUUGCACAUUUUGGACAGAGCCGCGAAACGUCUUAAAGAGAGCGACUUAGUCUGCGACUCAUCCCAAGAAUCAUUCAUCACUCAAGGCUUUUACAUUUUUCGGGUAACUUUGUUCCUUUCUAUUUCAGUUUUCAACAAACUACAUUAAUUUGACAAAACUAAAUUCUAUUGUACGUGACUUAAACAAAUAUAUAAAAUGAGAAUUGGCUUACAGAAAUGGUGAUUUAACUAAACAAAACAAGUAAAUGUAGAAACUUAAAAUAAUAGAAAUAAUUGAAGAAAAUUAGAUUGACAAGGCACUAGAGUUUGACCUUUACCAACAACACUCCUACGUAGUUCUUCCAAUUCCUUAAGUAAUCGAAAACACACAUGCCUUGAAGGUUGAGUUUUUCCUUAUGUAAUUUUACUUGUGACAUUCAAGCUAAAUCACAUAUCACUACAUGCAAUUCAUCCAUAACAUUGAGAUUAAAUAUAAACAUGAGUGAUUUAUUGAUCUUGGUGAAAAUCCUUUUAAUAAACCAUGUAAUCCCUAAGAGUAUCAUAUUUACCUUAGGAGAAAUUACAAUCCUCAAUCACAAGAAUCAUAACCAAUUUUAACGUGAUAUUCGUUCAAAAUUACAUUCGAUGACUGUUCUAAGCAUCCCAAUGGUGAUCAAGCAUCAAAGCACGUAGAUAAUUUAAUUUAGUAAUUGAAAAUAUCAAAGUAAGCAUGUAACAAUACUUAAACAAUUAAAAGAGACGUAUUCAUGUUGAAGCUCAUGACCUCACUCAAGCGAAAGAAAAUUAAUUAUACAUACUUAUCUGAAAACAUAAAAAAUUAUCCAUAAAAAAUCAAAGCAAAAAUACAACCUUUAUUUACAAGAAUUAUUCCUGCUGAGCUGCUUCCAUCCUCCGCUCUCUGCCUUUGCUCUCUUCUUCUACUGAGCCUUCCGUCCUUCUCCCUGCUUCUCUUCUGUUUUUCCUCGUCUGCUUCGUGCCCUUCCCUCGACCAAAUGCAGCUAUCUGCUUUUUCCCAGCCACAAAGGCCCAAUGGAAGACAAGUCAAAUUUCACUUCGGUAGUGGGAUUGGCAAGGCAAAGUACAAAGUUACCUGUCUCUUUCUUUUUUCUCCACUUGCCGUGUCCCAUCUUGGAAAAUUCCAAAAACGUUCGGUCAUUCCCAGUUGCCAAAGCAGGUUGGAGCUUUUGAACUCUUCUUCCGCUUUCUACGCACACCCACUACCUCACAACUACAACUUUAUUAGCCAAUCUAAUAUUACAUUUUUAAUUGCUUACCAUGGCCUCUUCCAAUUUUCUCAAGUUUCUACAAAUGGAUUUUUAUUUAGAAAAAAUAAUGAAAAGUGUUUGAAAAUUUUAAGUUUUAAUGAAAAUGAUAAAAAUAUGUUGUAAGUGAAUAUUAUUAAGAUUGACUUUUUAAAAUAAAAAUGUGAUUUUUUAUUAAAAUAAAUAAUACCAGGACUGUUUCGUUAAAACUUCAUUUUUAUUUUCUAAUACUGAUGGAGAAGGAAAAGGAGAGAGUGACAUAAAGAAAAUAUGGAAAUAAUUUCCACAAUUCGUUUUCUAUGUUUGUACACUUCCAAUAUUUUUCAUCACUCGAUUCUCACACCAAAGGAAACAUAAUCAUGAUAUUCCCGCAUCAUUCUUUUUUUUAUUUAUUUAGCCGAAAGCUCGUCCUAGAAACAUAAUAUAACAAAAGUAUCACAAAUACUUAAAACUUCCCACUAAACUAAACAAGAUAACAACAAUAAUAGGGCUAAAUAUAUAGUAUAAAUAUUGAUUCAUCAAUAUACACAAUGAAGUUGCUUUCAUCUAUAAAAUCUAAGAGCUCUUAGAUUUAUUAACAUGCCGAAACAUUUCAACGAGAUGUGGAUCCGAAAAAUGGCCAGCGUUAUUGGAUUGUUGAGCUUGUACGAACGGCAUGUUAUUUGUAUUUACAAGCGUGGGACGAGAUGCUGCACACACGAGAUUCACAACCUGCAUGAUUCCAGCUUGUGAAGGCGCACAGGCGAGUCUUACUUAACAGCAGAAUACCCUGCACCACAGGAUGCUGCAGUGAAAUUAUCAAAUUUCAUUUUUUUCCCUAGUUGCCAACAUCAUUUUAGUCUCCUAGGAGAUGGCACGAUUGGUGAGAAUGAUUUAUGUGGAACAGGUUCACCGUAAACGUGGCAUCCCAGUUUAAUAAUACAAUAUUACAUGACAUUGUCUUAUUGGACCGAGGCGCAAUAGUGACGAUGAAUUCAUUUUAUAUAAGUUGCUCUUAUUGUUGGGUGUCCUUACGCAAAUUUUUCAAGACAAGGUGGAUUUUUAAUCAAAGAUAGUUGUGAUCUACAUCAAUGUUGUGCGGAAGCGCCAAAUAUGAAACCAAUAAUCUAAUACGACAAAAUAUGACAAGACAAAUAAUCCAAAUUGACACAAUGUUUUAUACUGAUUCAGCGUAAGCCUACGUCUAGUUCAGAGACAGCGAAGAAAUUCCACUAAUAGUCAAAAUGGAGAUUACAAAUUUAGUUCAACUCUUAAAUCCCAAAACUCACAUACACCCAAGGUAUUAAAUAUCGAUGAGAUCGGAAAUAUUGGUAAUAAAAAAACACGGAAAUUUCGAUAGAAAUAUCGGGAUAUUAUCGAUAUCAAUAAAAAUUGAAUAAAAACCACGGAAAUUGUAAGAAAAACUUGGAAAUUUUUAUUGAAACUUUGUAAGAUGUUUAUUUAGUCAAUUAUCUAUUAGUUUAUCACAAAAACUUGGAAGGAAAUGCAUUGUAUGAUAGAUAGAACUGAUUUAAGUUGAUUAUAUAACGAGCUGGUAAAUAUUGUGAGUGUAGAAAAUAUGUAGUAAUUAAUUAAAGAAAUUUAAACACACCAUAAUCAUUUAUAUAUAAUGAAUUAUGCAAUAUUUUACACUUUAUACAUUAAAUGGUAAGAUACACGAAUGACUUAGCAAGGUUUAAAAUAUCGAUGAUAUCGGAAAUAUCGGUAGUCCAAAAAUACGAAAAAUUUCGAUUGAAAUAUCAGGAUAUUAUGAAUAUUUUAGACCAUACAUACACCUAAUAGCUCUCACUCGUACAAAGAACAAAUGAAGAAGAUGGAAACACAUACCAAAUCUCAUCUCUCAAAAGCCACAAAACGUAGCAUCAAUAUCUUUGACUGAGUGAUUACAGACAAAGGGAGUUACAAACAAAAGGGGUUACAAACAAAGGGGGGAGAGCAGCAGCCUUCUUCAAAUAGAAGAGUCGAAUGCUCUCUCCUCUGCUCACUUCUUUUCUGCUGCUCUCCUCUACUUAUCUCUCCGCAAGAUCCAGCAAGGAAGAUAAGGUGCACAAUGAUCAACAACAACAACAAAUUUUUUUCCGACUAAAUGGAAUCGGGAAUCAUAAAAAUGUAACUUUUUUUUCUUUUGCCAACCACAAAGUGCCGAAAGAAAAAAAAAUCAACCCUUUCUUUUUUUUCUACAAACAUCAUCAUUAUGCCUCCUCAUCAUGUUCCCACAUCCCCUUUUCUUAUUCUAUUUUUCUUGCUUCUGGCUUCUUUAACAAAUGCAGCAGUUGCUGCCAAUUAAAACAAAGAAUGUGAUAUUCACACAUUCUUUUUUACUUCUUUUAUAUUCUUUUAAUUUUGGAUCGUCGGAUCGGAUGAAUUGAAAAAAAUUAAAUGACAUAAAUUAACAAGAGUUGUGAGAGAAGUAAAAAAAAGUGUGUGGAUAGCACAUCCCUUAAAACAAUAGGAAAACCACCCUGUGGCUUUCACAUGGACCAAAUAAACAAAAGGAAAACCACCAUGUGGAUUUAUUCCUCAUAAUCCAUCAAAUCAGAAAAUUCGUGUCGUUGAAAUUUGAUCAAACGGCUAAAAUUAUUAUAACUUUUUAAAAUGAAUUUUUAUUUAUAACCUUAGAUCAAAUUUCAACUGUAUAAAUUUUCUGAUUUAAUGGAUCAGAAGGAAGGAAGGACCCGUUUCCUUACGGAUAACCUAAUUCAAUAUGAGCCAAUCGCUGCCUUAUCACAUCAUUGAAUCCAAUUGCUGCCUUAUCACAUCAUAAUUCAAUAUGAGCCAAUCGCUGCCUUAUCACAUCACUUUCAUAGUUUAAUUCACCUUGCAAUCCAGAAAGUAGUCUGCAACGGAUUCGGAUCCCAUCCGGAUUCAAAAUGUGGAAAUGUCUUAAUCAUUAAUCAAUCAGAAAUUAUUUGACUUGUUAUUUUAAAUUAAACACAAAUAGUAUUUGACGAAAACUAACGUAUGAAUGAACGGUUAGGAUGUGAGGAAGUGUAUAAUUCCCACCAAAUGGAUCUAGAGAGGAUCCUCUUCUGUCUGCAACCUAACCAGAAAUACAUCACACAGAAUUCAAAAAUGUUCAAAAUUUCAUAUAAUUGAGCAAAUAUUCAUCAAUUAUAGAUGCUUUGUCUGCCAGACAAGGGCAGGAUACAGAAUGGCAGAACAGAUUAUAUGCUUUGUGAUCGACAAGUUAAUUCAACUACUCAUCACCACAGAAGCAAACCUUUCGAGAAAUGCAAGUACUGAAGUUGGUUUCAUCAAAGAUGAACUCGAGAGCAUCCGAUCAUUCCUCAAGGAAGCAGAUGCUAAGGCUGCAGCAGCAGACGGAGAGACGGGGAAUGAUGGUGUCAAAACUUGGGUCAAUCAAGUAAGAGAAGCAGCUUUUUAUAUUGAAGAUGUGAUUGAUGAAUAUUUGCUCCGCAUCUUACAGCAUCAUCAACACCAUGCAUUCCUUCGUUCUUUCCACAAAAUUAUCCGGUUGGCUAAAAAAUUGAGAUCACAGGAUGGGAUAGUUUUGAAAGUUGACGGUAUAAAAGAAUUGGUUCGUGGAAUCAAGGAGAGAAGUGAAAGAUAUGGAUUCAAAUCCCUUGAUCAGCAAGGCCAGAGCAGUGGAGAAAACAACGACCCUCGAGUGGCUUCCCUUUUCAUUGAGCAAGCUGAAAUCGUGGGGAUUGAAUCUACCAGAGAUGAGCUGACUGGUUUGUUGGUAGAAGAAGCACCAAGACGUAAAGUGAUAUCAGUGGUUGGCAUGGGAGGACUUGGGAAAACCACUCUUGCCAAGAAAGUAUAUGACCAGCCGAAGGUGAUGGCACACUUUGAUUGCUAUGCUUGGAUUACGGUGUCCCAAUCGUACAGGGUUGAGGAUCUUCUGAGGACGGUAAUAAAAAAGUUCUACAUUUCAAGGAAGGAGCUUUUCCCAGAGGAAAUCGACACAAUGGAUGAGGAGUCCCUGAUUAGCACAGCAAGAGAGUAUUUGCAGCAAAAGAGGUACGUUGUUGUGUUUGAUGAUGUGUGGAAAGUAGAUUUUUGGGGGGCUAUAGAACAUGCUUUACCCGAUAAUAAAGGCGGACGAAUAAUUAUCACUACACGGAUUCAAGGUGUUGCCAACUUUUGCAGAAGAUCUUGUUUUGUUCAUGUUCAUCACUUGCAGCAUCUGCCUCCAAACAAGGCAUGGGAAUUGUUUUGCAGAAAGGCAUUUCAGUUUGAAUUGGAGGGAAAGUGUCCUGAAGAUUUGGAAGAGUUGUCUCUUAACAUCGUCAAAAGAUGCGAAGGACUACCUUUGGCAAUUGUUUCCAUAGCUGGUCUGCUGUCAACCAAAGCUAAAGUUGUGUCUGAAUGGCAGAAGUUAUACAAUAGCUUAAGUUCAGAGUUAGAAAGCAAUCCCCACCUUACAAGCCUCACAAGAAUCAUAUCCCUCAGCUAUCACCAUCUGCCGUAUUACCUCAAAUCGUGUGUAUUAUACUUUGGCAUCUUUCCCGAGGAUUACUCAGUUAGUUGCAUAAGAUUAGUUCGGUUGUGGAUCGCUGAAGGUUUUGUGAAACCGAAGAGGGGCAAGACACUAGAAGAGGUUGGAGAGGAAUACUUGAUGGAGCUAAUUCACAGAAGCCUGGUUCAAGUUUCAGAAGUUUACAUUGAUGGAAAAGCUCGAGGUUGUAGAGUUCAUGAUCUAUUGCAUGACGUCCUCCUUAAGAAGGGGUUGGAUUCGAGCUUCUGUCAUGUGUUAUCAAAAGACGAGUCAACUUUUAAACCAACAACUCGACGUCUCUCAAUGGACAUCAGUCCUUCUGAGGCCGUGGGAAGCUUUACACAAUCUCAUAUUCGUUCUGUAUUUACUUUCAACCUAGAAGAAUGGCCUGGGUCUUUUCUCGAUACAUUGAGUGGAAACAUUAAACUUCUGAAAGUAUUGGAUUUCACAGAUGCUCCAAUCAAUCAACUUCCGAAAUAUGUGGGGGAUUUGUAUCUCUUGACGUAUUUAAGCUUGAGGAAUACAAGGGUGGAGUUGCUUCCAGACUUCAUAGGCAAUCUACAAAACUUGGAAACCUUGGAUCUAAAACAGUCUUUGGUGUAUGAAAUACCAGCCAAGAUCAAUAAGCUUGUUAAGCUGCGGCAUCUUUUGGCCUACCAUCGUGACUACAACUACGACGUGGGUUUGUAUUGGAAUUUGGAAAGAGGAGUGAAGAUACAUGAAGGUAUUGGAUGCUUACAAGCUUUGCAAAAUUGUCCUAUGUGGAGGCGAAUCAUGGAGGGAUCAGGUUAAUCAAAGAAUUGGGAAAGUUACGACAGCUACGGAAGUUAGGCCUAAAAAACUUGAAAAGUGAAGAUGGAAGGGCUGUGUGUGCUUCUAUUGAAAAGAUGAACCACCUUGAAUCUCUAAUUUUAACUGCAAUAAAUGAAGAUGAAGUCCUUGAUCUAGAAUCCAUUUCAACUCCACCACAAUUUAUUCGUGCUCUCUUCUUGAUAGGGCGUUUAGAGCAGUUGCCAGGUUGGAUUUCAAAUCUUCAACACCUCGUCAGAUUGGUGAUUUGUUGGUCAAGGUUGAGAGAUUCCCCACUAAAAGCCCUUCAAAAUCUACCUAAUCUGUUGGAGCUAACUUUGGAUAUCAAUGCAUAUGAUGGUGUGCAGCUGCAUUUUGAGGAAGGAGGAUUUCAUAAACUUAGAAAGCUACAUCUCAGGGAAAUGAUGGGACUAAAUUCGUUGAUCAUAGACGAUGGUGUCAUGCCUCUUCUCCAAGAGUUUCGCAUUGGGCCUUCCCCACAAAUGAAUGAGGUACCCUCUGGCAUCCACCAUCUCCGGAAUCUGACAUAUCUUCAUUUCUAUGACAUGCCAAAGGAGUUUGCGCGACAGAUGGAUCCAAAAAAUGGCCAACAUUAUUGGAUUGUUGAACAUAUACAAAAUGUUCGUUUUAGUUACAAGGUCGGACCAAGAUGGCGUGUAUAUGAAAUUCACGCCCUGCGUGAUUCCAACUUUUCUCUUUGGUGGAAUGCUUGAUUCCAACUUGUGAAACCAAGCAUGGGAAUGGGAUAUGCUUUGGUUAAGAGUUGGUUGUUAGCUCUGGUAUCCUAGUUUCUCUUGCAGGUUGACUGGGAGGGGCUCUUUCUCUUCUGUUUUCUUUGUGUCGUCCAAUCGUAUUCCUAGCAUUUUCCUUGUAAUUUUAUUGGUGGUUGCAAUAAAAAUAUCCUAUCCAAUUGAUUUUCUCUAGGAAAAUGAUAAACCGUAUGCUCCUUUUAACCUCACUUUGAUAAUUGAAGUUAAAAUAUUAAAUUUUUACUAUUUUUGAUCUUACCAAUUCUUUACUAUUUUAUAUUCUUUAUAUUAAUUUGUAAUCUCUAACAUAUUUUGUUAAUCAAAGGGUAGAUUUUGUGGAUUAUAGAAAUUUCAUGAAUCAUGAUUGUUUUUUUUUAUUUGCCAAAAAAUUCAUGAAUCAUGAUUGAGCAUUCUCCUUUUGUAUGUCACACAUAUUGAUCCAGCCACAUAUUUUUUGUAUGCACAAUAAUGAAAAUGUGUUAAGCGUUUAACGGUGUAAAUUCAAACUCCGUCGAUAACUAACGUAACAAAAUUUAUCGACAGACAAAAAAAAUAAAAAUUAGGUACAAGAUGUAAAGGUGAGGGCCCACAAAUGCAAGCGUUGGGGAUAGCGGAGUGGAUCCCACGAUUUCAAAAUUAUGGACAGGAGGAACAUUUCUCUCAAACUUGGGCGCUAAAAAAAGUCGUCGUCGUUUUUCCUUUUCUGGCUGAGUUUGCCUUCUUAAACCAACCCGACAUUCUCGGCCCAAACAAAUGUUCAAACCUUUCCGUUACUUCCCUUCACAAAUUUCCAAUUAGGGUUUCACAUUAACCUUGAUCAGAACUUCUACGUACAUAUAUAUACAUAUAUAUAUUUAUAUAUAAUCUCUCUCUCCCUCUGUUUCUGAAUUUUGAUUUCCCGGGAAGGUUUCAAACCCGAUCGUUUCUUCGAAAGUCUCUGAAAGCUUUUCGACAAAACAAAAAUCCAAAAUCUUUGUGAUAUCAAAAAGGAAAUAAAUUUCAAAACGCGCAUGGAAUUGGCUGGUUCAUUUGCCUGAAAGUUGGUUCAGAUAGAGAUGGAGGGAGGGGCGAGAGAGAUGGACGAAGAAUUGCUGGAGUUCGCGAGGGAGGCUUUCGAGGGGGAUGAAAUUGACAUGGACUACGAAUUGAUGCGCCAAAGGUUCUACGAUUUCACUAGGCCGGAAUCCUAUUGGGAGGCGGAGGAGGCGGAGGAAUGGUUCCGGUCCGCCGGAGGCUAUCACCCCACGCGUAAGCGAUUUCCAGAACAUUUGUUUGUUGGUUUCUUAUCAUUGAUAGACAUAUAUUGUGUGGCUGAGAUACUGCCACUUGUAUGCAGAUUAGAGAGUUAGUUAGAAAGUUAGUUAGGUAGUUUGUUUAGAAUAUUGAAAAGGGUAUAAAUACUGAUGUAUGUGGGAUUGCUUAGUAAGUAAGAAAAGUAAUAUACUGGAAGUGUUUGGUUUCUACUUCUCUCUCUAAAUUGCUUGAAUCUCUUCUUCUUCUCACUAUAUUUCUGUAGUUUAAUAUGGUAUCACUCGCCAUUAGAGCUUGAUCAGCUUCUUCGAUCCGAGUCUUCCGCAGCUCCAACACUUCGUCUUCCUCUGAAUUCUUGCUUCUUGUACGCAUUUCUUGAUUGCUUUGACUUCGUCUUCUCUGCUUUCUAGGGUUUAUUGUUUCUGGGUGCUCUGCAACUACGAUCUGGUUGCGUCUUCGUCUUCUUCUAAUAUUGCACUCCAGGUGUUUGAUCCAUUGUUUCAGUGAGUUUCGGCAACGAUGGUAACAGCUUCUCAACUUCAGCUUCUUCAAUCUCCGAUCACUGCUCUAGUUUCGUCGAUUUCUACAUCUGUGAAUGUGAAGUUGGAUGAUUCGAAUUAUCUCACUUGGCAUUUUCAAAUGCAAUUACUGCUUGAGAGUAAUGGAAUUCUAGGGUUUGUCGACGGCACGCAUCCCUGUCCUCCUCGACAUUCCUCACCAUCUGGAGAUUCUGGUGUUAAUUCCUCAAAUUCAACAACUUCUUCUGCUAGUGAUGAGUAUUUGAUUUGGAUAAUGCAUGAUAAAGCCCUGAUGCAGUUACUGACUGCUUCUUUGAGUCCAAUGGCUCUGUCGUGUGCUAUUGGUAGUACAAGCUCUCGGGAUCUCUGGAUUCGAUUGCAAGAACAAUUCUCCACAGUCUCCAAGACUAGCAUAUUUCAGAUGAAGUCUAAUCUUCAAACCAUUAAAAAGGGAUCUGAUUCUGUUGCUCAAUAUUUACAGAAAAUCAAAGAGGCCAGAGAUUAUCUUUCAGCUGCUGGGGUGUAUUUUGUUGAUGAAGAUAUUGUCAUUCUUGCGUUGAAUGGUUUGCCACCAGAGUAUAAUACAUUCAGAACAGUAAUAAGGGGACGUGAGAAUGUUAUAUCUCUGAAGGAGUUUAGGACACAAUUACUUGCUGAAGAAGCUAUUCUGGAAUCCACUGUUAAUGCACCUUUUAUGACUGCAAUGGUUGCUCAUAAUUUACCUCCGAGAGCACCUACUCAAUCCAAUUUUGUGGCUGGUGGUUUCAAGCAAUUCAAUGCUCCCAAAAACAAGGGGAAGGGCCGGUUUCAUCAAAAUAACAGGACUUUUUCAUCCAAGCCGUAUCUUCCUACUCAAACUCAUGUUCUCCAAAAUCCAAGUCCUGGUGUUCUUGGUUCUUUUCCUCAUCAGCAGCACUCCCCUCCUUCUGCUCCACAUCUCCUCUUAUGUCAACUUUGCAAUUGUGGUGGUCAUUCUGCGCCUUUCUGUCCAUCCAAUUCUUCUGCGAAAUCCCGAUGUCAGAUUUGUGGCAGGUUUAAUCACAGUACAUGGUUCUGUUUUUACAAUGACAAGGGUCCCAACUAUAUUGGUGCUGGCAAUGGUUCUUAUCCACAACCAGGGCAUCCAUAUUCUCAGCAGGCUUCUUAUUCACAGCAAGGGUAUUCAUCACAGUUUCCUGCUCCACAACAAAUUCAGUCUCAGGCACCAAUGCAGGCUUUUCAUACUAUGGUGCCACAACCCUCUCCUCCAGCAGCAUCUUCAUCUCCUUCCCAAGUUUGGAUCACUGAUUUCGGGGCAACGAAUCAUAUGACUGCUGAUCUUUCCAAUCUGUCUCUAGCUUUACCCUAUCCCACUAAUGAAGUCAUACAAACUGCCAAUGGUGAAGGUUUGCCUGUAUCUCACAUUGGUAGUACUGUUAUAAAACCAUCUCUCCAUCCUAUAAAAUUGAAUUCUGUGUUAUAUGUUCCCAAAUUAACACAGAAUCUUCUAUCUGUCCAUCGCAUAUGUUUGGAUAAUAAUUGUUGGCUUAUCUUUGAUGCCUUCUGUUUUUGGAUCCAGGACAAGGCCACAGGGAGGGUACUCUAUAAAAGAUUGUGCAGUAAUGGACUCUACCCACUCUCAUCUCUAGCCAAUGUGUCACCUGCUGGUUCUCAAAGCAUUGCUUCAAAUAAAGCCCUCCUUGGUCAGUUGGUUACUUCUUCUACUACCUGGCACAAUAGAUUAGGACAUCCAUCUAAUUCAGUUGUCUCUCUUAUGUUGCAUAAGUCCAAAGUUGCUUUUGCAAAAGACCCAAAUCCUGUUCUGUGUCCUAGUUGUCUUGAGGGUAAAUUCUGUAAACUUCCAUUUGCAUUAAGUGUCAAUAAAUCUGUAACUCCUUUUGAUGUAGUGCAUAGUGAUCUUUGGGGUCCUGCACCUUGUAAAUCUGUGGAUGGAUAUCGGUACUAUGUCACCUUCAUUGAUGAAUGUACCCGGUAUUCCUGGAUUUUCCCAUUGAUGAAUAAAUCCGAUCUUUGUGCCACUUUUAUUGCUUUUCAUGCUUAUGUUCUCACUCAAUUCUCUGCAAACAUUAAAAUUUUGCAAAGUGAUGGUGGUGGUGAGUACAUUAGCAAGUCACUUCAAUCUUUUCUUCUCCAAAAGGGCAUUUCUCAUCAAAAAUCCUGUCCUUAUACCCCUGAACAAAAUGGGAUGGCUGAACGUAAACACAGACACGUUAUUGAAACCACAAUUACUUUGUUGCAAACAGCUAAACUGCCUUCCCAGUUUUUGGUCCUUUGCAUGUCAAACUGCCAUUUAUCUCAUUAAUAGAAUGCCUACUCCCAUUCUCCAUAACCAGUCUCCUUUUGAAGCCUUAUAUGGUGCUGUUCCAGUGAUUCAUCACUUGCGAACGUUUGGUUGUGCUUGUUAUCAUUUCUUAAGACCUUACAAUGCUACCAAACUUCAAGCUAAGACUACAAAAUGUGUGUUUUUGGGAUAUGCAUCCAAAUUCAAGGGCUUCAUUUGUUUUGCAGUUUCUACACAUAAAUUCUUUGUGUCUAGACAUGUGGUAUUUAGUGAACAUGAGUUUCCUUAUAAUGACUUGUUGUCCCGAGCCACCACACCACAAUCUCCUACUUCUGUUCACAUUACUGACCUGUCAUCUCUUCCUGUCGUCCCCUCACAGCCUAUAGUCACUAUACCCUCCUCUCAUACUCCUAUUUCUCCUGAGUCUCCAUUACAUUCCCCUUCUGCUCCCGGGUCUUCAUCCUUCUCACCAACCACGUCUCAGUUUCUUGACCCACCACCCUCUCAUCAGUCCAUUACUGGUGCAGUUUCACCCACUGAUCACAACCCUGUGGUACUUGAACAUAGUCCUGUUACACUACAAGUGGUUCCUUCCAUUCCCUCCUUGAAUAUACACCCUAUGCAGACUAGGAGUAAGAGUGGUAUCAGCAAAAAGAAGGUUCUUUUGUCUGCUCUUGCUACUUCCAUGGAUGCUGAUUUGUCUAUGUGUGAACCCAAAACAUACAAAUCUGCUCUCAAGAGUCCUGUGUGGUUUCAAGCAAUGAAGGAAGAGAUCAGUGCUUUGCAUACUCAAGGAACAUGGAGUUUAGUUCCUUUACCUGCAAACAAGAAUUUAGUAGGGUGUAAAUGGAUUUUCAAACUCAAGAGACAUUCAGAUGGUUCAAUUGCACGCCAUAAAGCUCGAUUGGUUGCCAAGGGAUUUAGUCAAGAACCUGGGCUGGAUUACAGUGAGACCUUUAGUCCAGUUGUUAAACCCACCACAGUGAGGAUUGUUUUAGCACUUGCUGCUCACUUUAAUUGGUCACUUCGGCAACUAGAUGUCAAGAAUGCGUUUCUCCAUGGCAUAUUACAGGAUGAGGUGUAUAUGGAUCAGCCACCUGGCUUUGAGGAUCCCCAGAAUCCUACUUUGGUAUGUCAAUUGCAUAAGUCCCUAUAUGGCUUAAAACAGGCCCCGAGGGCAUGGAAUGACAGGUUUACUUCUUUUCUGCCUAAGUUGGGCUUCCAUAACACCUAUUCUGAUUCCUCCUUAUUUGUGAAACCUGUUGGUGCCAAUAUUGUGAUCUUAUUGCUAUAUGUCGAUGAUAUUAUCAUCACAGGAAGUGCAAUCACUGAGAUUCAGCAGGUCAUUGAUGCUUUAACUUCUGAAUUUGACAUCAAGGACUUAGGUCCUCUUCACUACUUCCUUGGCAUUCAGAUUUCCAAGACUGCCAAGGGGUUAUUUUUGUCCCAACAGAAAUAUGUACAGGAUCUCCUUGUCAAAACAGAAAUGCUUGACUCCAAGCCUUGUGACACACCCUGCUUACCUUCUACCAGGUUACUCAAGGAUGAUGGUGACCCUUAUCCUAAUCCUACUUUAUAUAGGAGUGUGGUGGGUGCUCUUCAAUAUCUAACGUUCACACGCCCUGAUAUAGCUUUCUCUGUGCAUCAAGUCUGUCAGUUUAUGCAAUAUCCUAUGGUCUCUCAUUUCACUGCAGUUAAAAGGAUCCUUCGGUAUUUGAAGGGCACUAUGUCCUGUGGCAUUACCUAUUCUCAAGGGGACUUGGCACUAUCUGCAUUUAGUGAUGCCGAUUGGGCUGGAGAUCCCAAUGAUCGGCGAUCUACAACAGGGUCUGUGGUGUUCCUCGGGCAUAAUCCUAUCUCAUGGUCCUCUAAGAAACAGCAGACAGUGUCCCGAUCUUCGACUGAGGCAGAGUAUCGUGCUUUAUCCUCCACUGCAGCAGAACUUGAUUGGAUUCAACAAAUCCUUGCUUUUCUGCAUUUUCCGAUGUCUGCUCCUCCUGUUUUAUACUGUGACAACCUUUCUGCUAUAGCCUUGUCUUUCAAUCCUGUCCAACAUCAACGGACCAAACACAUUGAAAUUGAUGUGCAUUUUGUUCGAGAGCGGGUUUCUCAGAACAAGCUUGUGGUGCAGUUUGUGUCCUCCAAGGAGCAGUUGCUGAUAUCUUGACCAAAGGCCUCAGUUCUUCAUUGUUCCUUUUUCAUUGUAACAAUCUCAUGUUAGGAUCAUCCAAACAUGAGCUUGAGGGAGGAUGAUAGACAUAUAUUGUGUGGCUGAGAUAUUGCCACUUGUAUGCAGAUUAGAGAGUUAGUUAGAAAGUUAGUUAGGUAGUUUGUUUAGAAUAUUGAAAAGGGUAUAAAUACUGAUGUAUGUGGGAUUGCUUAGUAAGUAAGAAAAGUAAUAUACUGGAAGUGUUUGGUUUCUACUUCUCUCUCUAAAUUGCUUGAAUCUCUUCUUCUUCUCACUAUAUUUAUGUAGUUUAAUAAUCAUGUCCCAAAAACAAUGAAUUUUGGAUCAUCUCCUAUGAUUACCACAUUAAUUAAUGAUCGUUUUCUGCUAAUAAAUUUCAACAUCUACAUGUUUAGUUCAUGCAUUUUAAAUAUGUUACGUUGUUUUAUAUGAACAGAUUAGAGAUUAAUUGAAUUAUAAAUAAUGUAAUUUGAUUAGAUUAAUUUGUUACCACUAACUUUGUAUUUUCUUUGUUUAAUUUGUUUCAAAUCCUUUAGCCUUCCUUGAAAAAUUGUUGAAUUGGCAAAAAGAGAAUCAUCCAGUACCUGUAAAAACCUCUGCGGAAUCGAAAGAUGUUGAAGUUACUAGAUGCAGUACCUUGAAAAAUUGCAUGGAAACGGAGAUCUCUGCAUUCGUAGACGAUAAUGACAAAGGUACAUUCGGCCUCAUCGACUCAUGUCUUAUUAGAUUUUCGACGCAAUGUGAUAGUUCGUUGUAAAAUUACCGCACUUGGAAAAUUUUAUGUCUGUUAUCUGAAUCGACUUUGCCUGAAUUAGUACAUGAAGUUGUAUCUCACUGUUAUGUUUUAUGUUCAUGUUUCGACAUGAUUAGAGUUUUCUAAUCACAUGGCUCAAGACACUCUGAAAACCAAACUGAAGUCCUCGGGUAAGUCACCACAUCUAUUAAGGAGUUCAACGUUAAUGAAAUUCACGGCGAGUCAGUUGGCCAAGCAAAAUCAGCACCGAGAGGUUCACUCCAAUCGGUUAUUAAGGAGGUGCUGUUAUUUUUCUCUGAUGUUUCUGUUGUCAUUAAUGUAUGUUUUGUUCUAAUUGUUUGGUGGUCUAGUUUUCUAACUUGUCCCAUUUUCCGACUCUUGAUUACAGAGUUGCGAAAAAGCUCGAGAAACUCGAUGAGAAAUCACAGAAUUCUCCGCCACCUACGAUGGGCUGCGAAAAUUCGAAGCAAUGUAGCAUAGCACUUUGCAAAUUCGGUAGUGCUAUCACACGUGCAUUCUUACUUCUCACUAACCCCUCUCAAUUUUUCGGCCAUUGGAAAAAUAAGUGUGUAAAUAACACUAUCCUACAAAUUACGCAACCGAAACUAUAACAGAAGAGCGAUUAUAACGUAUUAAAGUACCAUCUCACUAAAUUAUCCAACAAUGUUUCAGAGAUUAGGAACAAUCAUACUACUUUCAGCUCAGUCAUUCCAUCAAACGGCUGGUUCGCUGCAAUUCCACUUAUGCUCAAAUCACUACCGUCCGUUCCUACCAUCGAUUCCAUCAAAUUCUCCGAAACCCAUUUCUCAAUCAAAUCCAAACACAGCUGCAACCACACCCAGAAAAUUAAAAAGUCGAACUUUACAAAACUCCACUCCGAAAACAUAAAUUACACAAAACCCAACAAAAUCUCACCCUGUUCUCGGACAAUCCGACUUGAAUAACCCCAUCCGGAUUAUCCACCCUCUCGUACGGGUCCUCCGAAGCCCUAUCCAACCCGAUAUAGUACGGCGAGUCAUUGGGCUUCGCAAUCCAGCUCGCCCGGGAGGACAUCCGGACCCGGCCCAUGGACCCGCGGGUGGACAAGCUGGACCGCGACAGCGUUCUGGGGAGCUCCGCCAGGUUGGAGGAGGACUGGGAGGGGGAAGGUGGAUCGGGUUUGGAGGGUCGCCGUCGUUUUAGGUAGAGCUGGAGGCAGUAAUAGAGAGCACAUGGGAUUAGAGAGGCGAGGAUGAGGCCGCCUCUGCCUUGGACGACGCCUUGGAGUGGCACAAUCAGUCUCAUCGCGGUGACUCCGGUGGGCUUGUUUCGGGUUGGGUCGGAGUCGGGUUGGCCGGUCCAGGUCUCGAGCUGCAGUGGGAGGGUUUCGGGUUGGCCGUUGGUUGGCGUGGAGGGAUUGAGUGAGAUUCGAGAGCCCUGCGAGGGAAGUGUGUGUUUUGCAGUUUCGCUACCAGAAACUUUUGGUCUGGUUAUGAUUGGCACCUGCCAGUUUCCAUCUUUGCAUCUUUUGUUGGUGGCGUGCAAACACCAUCGUCGUAUAAUAACAAAAAAACGAUUUCAUUCUUUUUGGGGCUAAAGAUGUAAUUUUGAAUCAAAUGCUUUUCUUAUCAUAUUUUUUUAUACCGUAACCGUUAUCUAAUAAAGAUAAGAUACAUAUGUGUGUAGACCUUACUUUUAUUAGAGAAAUUGAGAAUUUUUACUGUGCUCAAAACAAUAGUUGUACCAUAUGUCCUGGUGCAAAUACUAAAUAUUAUUCUGUGUUUCGAGCACAUUAAAAAAUCUCUCGGAUCACAUUGUGUUUGGACCUGAUUUUACACAUCGGCCUAAGCAAUCGAGGCCGUUGAGUAAGCAUGGUUCUCAACCGUUGGAUAAGAAAGUUUAGAUAUUAUUGUUAAGAGAUAAUAUUAUGAUUUUUAAUCAUAAUAAUUAUUUUUUUAAUAAGUUAUCUCGGUUUUUAUGCAAAAUAAAUGGGAUGGAGGCAAGUAGAGUUGUGAUGGGGACGUGAGCUUUGAAUCAGGUUGGUUUGUUUUGCUGGACAUGCAUGCAUGGGAUGUAAAGAUAAUGAAGUGAUAGGGGAUAAAUCCAAACAUGCCAAAACGUGUAAUUUGCAAAAGAAUUGUGCAAUAUGGAGAUUCUAUCCUAAUGCAUGGUUUUUUGGGAUUGGUUUUGUGCACGUGGCAUGCGACAAUGGAGAUGAUGGUUUUGCAUGGUGAUGGCAAUAUGGGUUUAAAGGUUUCUCAUGUUUUUUAAUAAGAAGCCUAGGUGGGUUAGAUCUCUAGUGAGAUGUGAUAAAGCCUAGGUAGGCUUUAUUUAUCUGAAGGAUAUGUGCGGCGUAUUUGAUACGGGAUCAGGGUUUAUCUGAAGGAUAUGCGCAGCGUAUUUGAUACGGGAUCAAGGUCAAUUCCACAAAAUAGAGUUGCAGUUGGACUCUACAAAAUUAUUUGGCCGCGUCACACAACAUUUGCUCCUAUAAAUAUAGAGGUAGUGGCAACGGAAGAAGGACCCCUGCAAAUCAAUACAAAAUUGCCCUGCGCAAAUUCUCACAACUUGUGAUUUUUCUUUUCCCUUUUUUCGCUGACACAUCUUCCGUUGGCAUCAACAGCACUGUGGAAGCAACCGGUGAUAUCUUAAGUCGGCAUAGAUAGCUCUGUCACCGUAGAAUCAGUCGGUCUCGCAAUACUUUCCGUUGGCAUCAACAGCACUGCGGCGAGAACGACCGAUUACCUAUCCAAGUCUCGGUCGAGAAGGAUUUCUGAAUCCUUAUUGGUCGAGGUCAUCUCAUCAGCCUUCUCGGCGAAGUGAGGUGUUACGAGUUAUUACAUUCGGCACAUUGAGGGCCGAAUUUGAUAUUGAACUUCGUGAGAAUAGUAACCUUGUCUUCAGGUUCGAGAGCCCAAGAGGCCGAGACGUGUUCCUUUCUUGGCCGCAAUCGCAAGACGCAGAAGUCAGUAGCGCGACCCAACGCAACAUCAACAAAUUUACUCCUCGGCCGAGCUCGGCCGACGAGUUGGCACGCCCCGCAUUCACCGAAGGACGUAGUUAGCUUAUUAAUUACUCGGCCUGCGCGCCACGUAGGCUUGGUAGUUUUUAGGGUCAACAUUUUGGCACGCCCAGUGGGACCCAGUGCUAAACUACGAAGUUCACAUGAUCUAUCUCGAUCCGGCUUCAAGGGAUGAGUGUUAUCGCCUAUUAAAGGAGCAAAACAACUUCUCGAGAGUUUGAGAAGAAUUUCUGAAAGGCAAGAGGCCGGGGGGCAAAUCUCCACUCCGGCCACAACCAAUAUUCAGCCUAAGAAAAGUGAUAAUUUGGCCGAAGAACAAAGGCCACUUGUUGUUUCGGUAGAGACUGAAAAUAUAGUAGGCCUAGAAGAAAAAAUUCAAGUCCCUAAGCUAUAUACAAAAAUUGACUUGGAAAAAGAUUCGUCAAAAGAACGCUCCAGUGACGAACGAGGCCGAGAUAUUGGCCUAGCCCGAGAAACUACGCCAAUUGAUAUGAUUAUUGGCAAUAAAGCCGAUAUGGAGAAAUCCUGUUCGGCUAAGUUAUUUGAAUUAAAAGCCGAAAUUAUGCCUGGGGGGCAUAAUAAUUGUUCAGCGCAUUCGGCGGCCGAUAAAAAAUCUUUCGUCAAGUCAAACAUAUUUGGAGAUAGUAUUUUAUUCGGCCUUGCAAAAAUUCAAAGUGAAAGUUUUGAUACAAAAAGCCUUCGGCUUGGAAUAAAACAUCGUUGGCCUCCUCCAUUUAUAGUAGGGCCACUUUUGUUUUCUUUUGCUACAAAAUAAGAAUAAAUUAUUUUCUUAACCAUUCGGCUUUUUAGGCCGAUGCUUAAGAAAAUAAAGGGGGCAAUAAGAUGGUGCGGACUUAGAAAAACAAGAAAAAACAAGAUGGUGUACUCGGCAGACAAUUUUGGUCAAAUAAUGGUGUACUCGGCAGACAGUUUUGGUCGAAUGAAUUUGCGAGAGCAUGCAUGACAAUUGCUCGGCAGACAGUUUUGGUCAAAUGAAUUUAUGGGAGCAUGCAUGGUUGCGAAGCUUGCUCAAUUCAGUUUCGAUGUGCGGUUUAAUAUAUAUAUGUGUGUGUCAGAAUGACCCAUCACAUGAAACAGAAAGAGAGACGCAUACGGAAAAGACAAAGGAAAAUUCAUGAAGUUAUGGUAGGCUUCCACAUGGGCUAACCUUUUCGUUUGGUGAUGUAGUGAUCUGUGAAUUCCUAACAGCAUUAUUUGGCCGAAUACAAAUCUUUGGCCGAAUAAAACAUAGUUCGGCCGAAUAUAAUGGGUUAUAUAUAUAUAUAUAUAUAUAUAUAUAUAUAUAUAUAUAUAUAUAUAUAUAGGCUCUACAGCCAGUUCUUCUCGGUCUCAGCCCUAUUUACUCUCGACCCCAGUAUUUUUGACCGAUACUAGUGUUUUCUCGACCCCGGCAGUUGAGAGUUGGAGUAGUUCACGACACUGGCAGAGGGAGGUUAUGACAUUGGCAGAACAUAGGUGAUUUUAAUGCCGAGAGACAAAAUUUGUUUCGGCAAUACGACGAAGUGUUGUUGGCUACGAGCAAUUAAUUUCCUUAACCAUUCGGCUUACGAGCCGAAGCUCACGGAAACUAGGGGGCAAUGUUUGGACCUGAUUUUACACAUCGGCCUAAGCAAUCGAGGCCGUUGAGUAAGCAUGGUUCUCAACCGUUGGAUAAGAAAGUUUAGAUAUUAUUGUUAAGAGAUAAUAUUAUGAUUUUUAAUCAUAAUAAUUAUUUUUUUAAUAAGUUAUCUCGGUUUUUUAUGCAAAAUAAAUGGGAUGGAGGCAAGUAGAGUUGUGAUGGGGACGUGAGCUUUGAAUCAGGUUGGUUUGUUUUGCUGGACAUGCAUGCAUGGGAUGUAAAGAUAAUGAAGUGAUAGGGGAUAAAUCCAAACAUGCCAAAACGUGUAAUUUGCAAAAGAAUUGUGCAAUAUGGAGAUUCUAUCCUAAUGCAUGGUUUUUUGGGAUUGGUUUUGUGCACGUGGCAUGCGACAAUGGAGAUGAUGGUUUUGCAUGGUGAUGGCAAUAUGGGUUUAAAGGCUUCUCAUGUUUUUUAAUAAGAAGCCUAGGUGGGUUAUAUCUCUAGUGAGAUGUGAUAAAGCCUAGGUAGGCUUUAUUUAUCUGAAGGAUAUGUGCGGCGUAUUUGAUACGGGAUCAGGGUUUAUCUGAAGGAUAUGCGCAGCGUAUUUGAUACGGGAUCAAGGUCAAUUCCACAAAAUAGAGUUGCAGUUGGACUCUACAAAAUUAUUUGGCCGCGUCACACAACAUUUGCUCCUAUAAAUACAGAGGUAGUGGCAACGGAAGAAGGACCCCUGCAAAUCAAUACAAAAUUGCCCUGCGCAAAUUCUCACAACUUGUGAUUUUUCUUUUCCCUUUUUUCGCUGACACAUCUUCCGUUGGCAUCAACAGCACUGUGGAAGCAACCGGUGAUAUCUUAAGUCGGCAUAGAUAGCUCUGUCACCGUAGAAUCAGUCGGUCUCGCAAUACCUUCCAUUGGCAUCAACAGCACUGCGGCGAGAACGACCGAUUACCUAUCCAAGUCUCGGUCGAGAAGGAUUUCUGAAUCCUUAUUGGUCGAGGUCAUCUCAUCAGCCUUCUCGGCGAAGUGAGGUGUUACGAGUUAUUACAUUCGGCACAUUGAGGGCCGAAUUUGAUAUUGAACUUCGUGAGAAUAGUAACCUUGUCUUCAGGUUCGAGAGCCCAAGAGGCCGAGACGUGUUCCUUUCUCGGCCGCAAUCGCAAGACGCAGAAGUCAGUAGCGCGACCCAACGCAACAUCAACAAAUUUACUCCUCGGCCGAGCUCGGCCGACGAGUUGGCACGCCCCGCAUUCACCGAAGGACGUAGUUAGCUUAUUAAUUACUCGGCCUGCGCGCCACGUAGGCUUGGUAGUUUUUAGAGUCAACACAUUGUUAAUAAGCUCUUCAAUUCAAGUUUUCCUUUCUCACGGUAUCGAUAAUAUACCAAUGAAUCCACUUAUAUAUAUAUAUAUGUAUGUAUCUUCCCAAGUAGAGGGUAUAUAUAUAUGUGUGUGUGUGUAUCCUCCCAAGUAUACCAGCACUCCUUAAAUUAUUGAACAUUGAAUCAGAACAAGUCUGCAAUAUGAUGGAUUACACAUGUCAAUGGUUGAGACAAACGCUGACUCAUCACAUCACUCUUGUGUGUGUGUAUCUUCCCAAGUAUACCAUCACUCCAUAAAUGAUUGAACAUUGAAUCAGAACAACUCUGCAAUAUGAUGGAUUACACAUGUCAAUGGUUGAGACAAACGCUGGCUCAUCACAUCACUUUCAUAGAUUAGAGGCAGAUUUUCUGCCCUCCUAUUUGGAUCCCCUUCUCAUUCCAUUCUAUUUUAUGUUGUCACGAUUAAACCACGUCAAUAUUUUAUAUUGAUUUUUUUUAUAGAGAUAAUAAAACAAAAAGCAAUAUGAAUAUAAAAUGUUGACGUAACUUAACUGUGAUCACACAAAUAGAAGGGAAUGAGAAGGGUACCCAAACAGGAGGGCAGGCAACCUGCCUCCUCAUAGAUUCGGUCUCCUUGCAAUCUAGAAAGCCAUCUGCAACCUAAGCAGAAAUAUUCCACCACAAUUUAUUCGUGCUCUCUGUUGAUAGGGCGUUGAUAGGGCGUUUAGAGCAGUUGCCAAGUUGGAUUUCAAAUCUUCAACACCUCGUCAUAUUGGGUAUUUGUUGGUCAAGGUUGAGAGAUUCCCCACUAAAAGCCCUUCAAAAUCUACCUAAUCUGUUGGAGCUAUUUUUGAAAAUCAAUGCAUAUGAUGGUGUGCAGCUGCAUCUUGAGGAAGGAGGAUUUCAGAAGCUGAGGCAUCUGGAACUCAAGGACAUGGAGGGACAAAAUUCAUUGAUCAUAGACAAUGGGGUUAUGCCUCUUCUCCAAGAGUUUCACAUUGGACCUUCCCCACAACUGAAGGAGGUGCCCUCUGGCAUCCACCAUCUCCGAAAGCUGAGAUAUCUUGUUUUCUUUGACAUGCCAAAGGAGUUUGAACGACAUAUGGAUCCAAAUAAUAGACUGCAACAUUGGAUUGUUGAACAUAUACAAGAUGUCCGCUUUAGUUACAAGUUCGGACCAAGAUGGGGGUGUAUACGAAACUCACGCCCGACGUGAUUCCAACUUUUCUUUUUGGUAGAAGAUUCCAACUUGUGAAACCAAGCAUGGGAAUGGAAUGGUCUCUUUUUGUACAGUUUUUGGUUAGAGAGGUUUAGGGGUUGUUAAGAGUUGGUUGUUAGCUCUGGUAUCCUAGUUUCUCUUGCAGGUUGACUGGGAGUGGCUCUUUCUCUUCUGUUUUCUUUGUGUCGUCGAGUCUAGUGAUAUUUCUAGCAUUUUCCUUAUAAACUGUUUUUUUUAUUUAUAAAAAUUGAAAAAUAAAAAGGUAUCUUCUUCUCAAAUUCAGAAUGUUCAAGUGACCUAAUAAAAUUUCAUUGAACUUUAGGCGAAUGAAUCAAGUUUUUACUAGAGAUAAGUGUUAAUCUACAAUGGCUAUUUAUUCAAAAAGUUUUUUAGUAGUUUAAAAUCAUCAAACUAACUUUUUUUUUUGAAUGUGUUAAAAUUGGUUACCUGCAGAUAAUGAGUUCUUAACAUGUGAUUCAAUACCGACCCAAUUAGUUAAUGUGUAGAUUUGAAAUCUAUUAUUUUCGUACCAUUUCGAAUCGAGUUAACAGAUCGUAUAAGAAAUUGUCAGAUCUAACUUAAAUUUGAAAGGCUUGAUGACCGUUGGCAGGCCUACCAAAUAUAAAAUGGUUGUUGUUUGUUUGUUAAUUUAUAAAAACUUAAAAAGAGAGUUGGGUAGGUAUCGUAAUGACGCAAAGCCAGAGGCAACCACCUCUCUAAUUCGAGUUUUCCUUUCUCACUGUACCAACACGAGCAAAUUAAUCCCCUCAUAUAUCAUCGCAACUCCACGGUAUAUAAUAUAGCAACACUCCUUAAAUUAUUGAAAAUUGAAUCAGAACAAGUCCGCAAUAUGAUAUGAUGGAUUACCAAAGUCAAUGGAUGAACCAAACGCUGCCUUAUCACAUCGCUUUCAUAUUUUCAAUCUCCUUGCAAUCCAGAAAGUCCUCUGUAACCUAACCAGAAAUAUUCCACACGGAAGUAUUCAUAUAGAGAUUUUUCUCCAUCAAUUAUAGAUACUGUCUGCCAGAAAAGGCAGGAUACAAAAUGGCAGAAUCAGUUGUAUGCUUUGUGAUCGAUAAGUUAAUUUCACUACUCGUCACCACAGAAGCGAAACUUUCAAGAGACGUGCGUGCUGAAGUUGGUUUUCUCAGAGAUGAACUUGAAAGCAUCCGAUCAUUCCUCAAGGAUGCAGACGCUAAAGCAGCAGCAGCAGCAGCAGAAGGAGACAUGGUGACUGACAGUGCCAAAACUUGGGUCAAACAAGUAAGGGAAGCAGCUUUUUACAUUGAAGAUGUCAUCGAUGAGUAUUUGCUUCGUGUCACAAGGCACCAUCAAGACCGCGGAUUCGUUCGCUUUGUCCACAAAGUUGUUUGGUUUCUGAAGAAAAUGAAACCACAGGAUGAGAUAGCCUCAAAAAUAGAGGGCAUGAGAGCAUUGGUUAGUGAAAUCAAGGCUAGACAUGAAAGAUAUGGGCUUAGUUCAAUUGAUCAGCAAGGUCAAAGCAGUGAAGAAAUUGUUGUUUCGUGGCAUGACCCUCGAGUGGCUUCCCUUUUCAUCGAGGAAGCUGAAGUUGUUGGUGUGGAAUCUGCCAGAGAUGAGCUGAUUAGUUGGUUGGUAGGAAAAGCAUCAAGAGGCGCAUACCGUGAAGUAAUAUCAGUGGUUGGCAUGGGAGGACUUGGUAAGACCACUCUCGCCAAGAAAGUCUAUGACAACCAAAGGGUGAUCGAACACUUCGAUUGCCAUGCUUGGAUUACAGUGUCUCAGACGUACAAGGUGGAGGAUCUUCUGAGGCAGAUGGUAAUGCAAUUCUACAAGGCCAGGAAGGAAUAUACCCCGGAGGGCAUUGACACAAUGGAAAAAGAAUCUUUAAUUAGAAAAUCAAGAGAAUUACUGCAGCAAAAGAGGUACGUGAUUGUGUUUGAUGAUGUAUGGAAAGUAGAAUUUUGGGAGGCGAUAGAACAUGCUUUGCUGGAUAAUAAAGGGGGAAGAAUAGUGAUCACCACGAGGAUUAAAGAUGUUGCUGAUUUUUGCAAAAAGUCUUCUUAUGUUCAUAUUUACCGUUUGCAACCUCUGCCUCCAAUCAAGGCAUGGGAAUUGUUUUGUAGAAGGGCAUUUCAAUACGAAUUGGAGGGGAACUGCCCUGCAGAUUUGAAAGAUUUGUCUCUUGAAUUCGUUAGAAAGUGCGAAGGAUUGCCUUUGGCAAUUGUUUCCAUAGGUGGUCUGCUGUCAACAAAAGUUAAAGUUGUGUCUGAAUGGCAGAAGUUAUACGAUAGCUUAAGUUCAGAGUUAGAAAGCAAUCCCCACCUUACAAGCCUCACAAGAAUUCUAUCCUUCAGCUAUCAUCAUCUACCGUAUCACCUCAAAUCAUGUGUCUUAUACUUUGGCAUCUUUCCCGAGGACUACUCAAUUAGUUGCAUAAGACUAGCUCGGUUGUGGAUCGCUGAAGGCUUUGUGAAACCGAAGAGGGGCAAGACACUAGAAGAGGUUGCAGAGGAAUACUUGACUGAACUGAUACAUAGAAGCCUGGUGCAAGUGUCACAGGUUUGGAUCGAUGGGAAAGCUAAAAGCUGUCGAGUCCAUGAUCUGAUGCGCGAAGUGCUCCUUAGAAAAGCGGUGGAUUCAAAUUUCUGUCAUGUGUUAUCAGAAAAUGAGUCAACAAUAAAGCCAAUAACUCGACGCCUCUUGAUAGACAGCAUGCCCUAUGAUGCCUUGGGAAUAAUUGAACAAUCUCGCAUUCGUUCUUUAUUUACUUUCAACCAAGAACAAUGGCCCGAGUCUUUUCUCAGUACACUGAGUGGAAACUUUAAACUUAUGAAAAUAUUGGAUUUUGGAGAUGCUCCCCUGAAUCAUCUUCCGAAGUAUGUGGGAGAUUUGCAUCUCUUGAAGUACUUAAGCCUAAGGAAUACAAAGGUGAAGUUGCUUCCAGAGUCCAUAUGUAAUCUGCAAAACUUAGAAACACUGGAUUUAAAACAGUCUCUGGUAUAUGAAAUACCAGCCAAGAUCAAUAAGCUUCUAAGGUUGCGACAUCUUUUGGCCCAUUAUACUGACUCCAGCUCAAGGUUCAGGAUGAUCAGUAACGAACGAGGAGUGAAAAUACAUGAUGGUAUUGGAUGCUUACAAGCUUUACAACAGUUAUACCAUGUGGAAACAAAUCAUGGCGGAAUCAACCUAAUCAAAGCAUUGGAAAAGUUGAGGCAGCUGCGAAAGUUGGGCCUGAAAAACUUGAAACGUGAAUAUGGACGAGCUCUAUGUGCUUCGAUUGAAAAGAUGAACCACCUUGAAUCUCUAGAAGUAAGCACAAUAAGCGAAGAUGAAGUCCUUGACCUGCAAUCCAUUUCAACUCCACCCGAAUCUAUUCGGUUUCUCUACUUGAAGGGGCCUCUAGAGAAGUUGCCAAGUUGGAUUCCAAAGCUUCAACGACUUGUCAGGCUACGAAUUUUUUGGUCAAGGUUGACAGAUGCCCCACUGAAAGCUCUUCAAAACCUUCCUAAUUUGGUAGAGCUUGGGUUCUCAUUCAACGCAUAUGAUGGUGUGCAACUGCAUUUUGAGGGAGGCUUUAAGGAACUCAGGGUGUUAAAACUCAAGCACUUGCCCAGACUAAACUCAUUGAUCAUAGACAAUGGGGCUAUGCCUCUUCUCCGAGAGCUACAAAUUGGGCCUUCCCCACAACUGAAGGAGGUGCCCUCUGGCAUCCAGCACCUGAGAAAUCUAAGCUCUCUUAGAUUUGUUGACAUGCCAAAAGAGUUCCGACAACAUGGAUCCAAAUAAUGGCCAACAUUAUUGGAUUGUCGAACAUAUACAAGAUGUUCUUUUUAGUUACAAGUUGGGACAAAGAUGCGAUG
Molecule: long non-coding RNA, 33433 nt
Filed under: Malus domestica (apple)
Lineage: Eukaryota; Viridiplantae; Streptophyta; Magnoliopsida; Rosales; Rosaceae
Description: long non-coding RNA (MDOM_LNC001143)
Source: RNAcentral